AAAUCCAAAUUUGAGAGGAAUUUUUUAACCUUCCCUUUAAAAAAAAAAAAAUUAUUUAUGACAGCUCUUCAAAUAUGGUUUGAGAAAAACCUAAUUAUGGCAUAUAUAUUUAGAGAGAAAAUUGCUAUUAAAUGUAACAAAAUUGUGAUUAAUUCAUGUAAAUUUUUUGGUAAAUUUAUUUUAAAGAGAAACUGCAACAAGGAAAAAAAUUAAUAAAAAGGAAAAUAAUGAAUUGAAUGAUACGCAAAAAUAUAUAUAAUUCAUAUAAAUCAUUAACCAAACAUCCAAACCAGAUUCAAAAACUCAAAACAAUCAAAACCGAUUCCGAUAUAAAAUAAUCAAACAAUCAAGAAACAACUAGAGUAUCACAAUAGGCGAGACCACGAGGCAAGUAAGUCACUGCCGAUGGAAUGGACAACGUGAUGGAAUAGAGAAGGUUAAAGGCGAGACCACAAGAGGCAGAGGAGAGAUCCCUCACCUGCGUCAUCACUGCCACUGUUGUUGCCGUUGCUGCCAUCUAUCGCCGCUGCACUGCACUGCACUGCCAGGUAAGUCCUUUGAUCCUCUCCUCCUUACGGGUGUUCGUCGCCAGAAAUGCAUGUUUGAUUUCCAGUAUUUUUGGAAAUGGCCCAGAAACAUCUCUAAGCCGUGUCAUCUCGUUUCUAUGUUGGAAACUUUUCGGACACUGGAAAAAGCUACCCAGUCCCAUUUUCGUACAUCACUUGUUACAAGUCAUCUUAUUGUUUGCGAUUCUCUCUUGGCAUAUGUCAGUGUAUAUGCAAGUGGAUACCAUUAACUAAAGUAUCAGCAUUCUCUUUUAGAAUCUCUAAAAAGAGAAUCUCUGUGGUUUUUAGAGACUCGUCUAAUCAGACUAGACAUAAUUGAUAUGAUACCCAACCUUCUCUCACAAAAUCUACUCACAGCCUCCAAUCUCUUAGCAUUUUAUCGAUUCUCAUCCUUUCAUCUCACAUUUUACCCUUAAUACCCUCAAUUUAUUUAAGGUAAGCAAAUUAGAUAGACAAAUUUUUAAUAGUAUUUAUUUAAACAAAAACCUUGAUAAUAGUAUUAUUUAAAAACAACAUUGAUAAAAUUUUUAUUUAAUUAAGUAUAUUAAUAUGAUAGAUUUAGUAAUAAAUUUAUUUAAGUUAAAAAUAAUAAAAAUAAAAUAAUGUGAUAAAUUUCCAAAUAAAUGCCAAGUUUAAGAUUUUUUUAAGUUAUUAGACAUUUUUAUAUUACACAUUUUAAUUAAUAAAAUUAAAUUAAUUAAGAGGAAUGAAAAGUAAAAAAUAAUUACUUUAAUUAAAGUAGCAAACAUAAGUAAUAAUUAUCAAUACAAGAACAAUAAAUUUAUAACGUAUUAUAAAUUAGUUAGAUAAAAAUAAAUACGACUCUAAUAAUGAUGCAAACGCCCUCUAGUGCUGCAUACAGGACACCUCUUCUUAUUUAUGCACCAGGUGUUGUAUCGCUUCAACCCACCUUCAUUAUCCCACUGUUUUCAACUUGAGUAGUUUCCAUCAAUGUCAUCGUUACGUUUAGAUCCAAUGGUUGGGAUCUAACUCUUGAUAAUUCCCCAAUAUGAUUGGGCAUUACAUAACUAUUAUUCAUAGCAAAAAGUCCGAGCCAUAUAGGAUAGAUCCAAGAUUUUAGUAAUGGGACUAGAAAGGAACUCUAAAGCAUUGCCAGAAAAUAUAUUAGCUCUUGAAUUGGAAAGAAUAUCUACAGAACAUCUACAGAAUGUCUACCAAAUGCUUAGAACAUUGCAUCGCUUAGCGUCUGAGAUUGUAGAAUGUCUAUAAAAACGUAAAAAGUCAAGUCCAUGGCCAGAAGUCUGAUCGCAUACCCAUUGCAUUCGAUGAAGAUGACUGAAAAGGCAUUGAAGAGGCAGGAGGACAACUGACCUUAUUCAAUAUAUGUGCCAAAUGAGUAGUAAGAGACUGACAAUGACACUGGAUAGAUUUCAGAGCUAAUGGAAAGUAUGGGAAUCUCUUUCCAUCUUUGUACUCUUAACUUCGGCGCUGUCGAGAUGCAUAUUGUGCUACAGAAGCCUCAUAUGGAUCAACAGGAAUUGGUGUCAGAUAGAGAAGCAAGUUAUGGUUUUGGUUGUGGUGGUGGUGGUAACUGUGUAAAUUACCCCCUCUUCGUUUAGAGCAAAUAAAACAACUCUUGCCCCUCCCUAAAUUUAACUAGCAAAUGGACCCUGAAGUUGCCCAACCUUAAUAACUAUGUCCUCUGCCUCGUCCACUUAAAAGCAAUUGGUAGCACCACGGAUCUCCACUCGUCCCAUUCCUGCAAACAAUAAACUUGAAAACCCUAUAUAUCAUUUUCCUAAUAUGAUUCUCAAACUAUCUGCGUGGUGUGUAUAAUAGUUGAAUGACAUAUAAAUUACAUUCAAUAAUUAACAAAAAAAAAUUAACCUCAUUUCGACUCAUUCUGUCUAUCUUGUAUAUGAUUUCCACUAGCAUGUGUUAUCACAUCAAUUAUUUGUCGUACUUGACUCCACCUUUACAAGGCAUCCACACAAAUCCAUCAUGUCAGUUCUUAGAGGAUAUUCCACCACAAUAAAUGUAUCUUCUCCAACUAGGGCUGAUUUUGAAAUUUGAUCCAUCAGUAUCCCAUAGUCAACUUCCGCAUAUGGAGGUGUGACGCUAAUGAAAUCAAAUUUUCUAUGCCUUCCUAUAAAUUUUUCUGCCCGUUCUAGAAAGUUUUCAACUCGAACUGUGUGUAUAACUGAAACGUCAAGGAACCCAGUUGACUCCAAAUUUGGUUGUAGAACGUUUGAAACAACCCAGGGAUCCAUCUCAACAAAAUGCACCUCAGAACAUCCUCGGCUGAUAGCUUCAAUACCAACAGAUCCUGUGCCACUGUACAAGUCCAACCAGCAACCUGGCCUCAAGGAUGCAGGACAGCCACCAGCUGCCUGCAAGAUAUCAAAGGCAGAACCUUUUACAACUUCCAUCAUUGGCCGCACAUCCAUUCCUGCUGGUGAAAGCAAUUUCUUUCUUUUAGCCUUUCCUCCAAGCACCUGAAGCAACGUAUGCGUGGUCCUCGGUGGCUUAGCCUCCUCUUCAGGGACCCUGACUUGUUUUCCUCUUCCUGUCUUUUGCACUUCCUUUUUUCUCCUCGACUUAGGAGAGGGUUCUGAUAAGAAGUCAUUAGGAUCGAGACCGUAUCGUUCGAAUAACGCUUUCUUAUCUCCACUAGUCAAUCCACUCCCUGAUUUCUGAGAGCAGACGAUAAUGGUUGAAAGGCGAUUGGCAGAGUUGUAGGAGACGUUGAAGAGAGGGAGAAUGGAAGAGGAAGCGGCAAGGUUGGAGUUGAUGUUGAUGCGUAGUGGAGAGGAAAUUGGGGACGCUGAAAUUGCCAUUGUUAGAGACUUUAAGCUUUUUCACCUGGAAGUGGAAGCCUGAAGCCUGAAGCCUGGAACCUGGAAGUGGAAACUGGAGUCUGGAGAGUGAAGUCCGAAAUAAACUGUAUUUUUU
This 3479-nucleotide unclassified non-coding RNA is filed under the name Hevea brasiliensis (rubber tree). Lineage: Eukaryota; Viridiplantae; Streptophyta; Magnoliopsida; Malpighiales; Euphorbiaceae. The record is from RNAcentral.